Bufo bufo (common toad) is the source of this 219-nucleotide long non-coding RNA. RefSeq lists it as uncharacterized. Lineage: Eukaryota; Metazoa; Chordata; Amphibia; Anura; Bufonidae. The transcript has 3 exons. The record is from RefSeq and is a predicted model, not a curated record.
CAAUGCUGGGAGUUGUGGUUAUUUAACUGGGACUGUAUGUCAGGGCUGAAGGGAGGGAUGUUAUUUGGAACUCUGUGUUGGAGGUGACUGGGAGGGGGUCAUGUUUUUUACAUGGGACUGUAUUUUGAUAGUGUCUGUAGGAGGUAGUGAUGUUAUUUACAUAGGACUGUAUGUUGGAGGGGGCUGGGGCAGGGAGAGAUGUUAAAGAGGACCUUUCAC